GCAACGCCGCGUGAACGAUGAAGGUCUUCGGAUUGUAAAGUUCUGUUGUUAGGGACGAAUAAGUACCGUUCGAAUAGGGCGGUACCUUGACGGUACCUGACGAGAAAGCCACGGCUAACUACGUGCCAGCAGCCGCGGUAAUACGUAGGUGGCAAGCGUUGUCCGGAUUUAUUGGGCGUAAAGCGCGCGCAGGCGGCUAUGUAAGUCUGGUGUUAAAGCCCGGAGCUCAACUCCGGUUCGCAUCGGAAACUGUGUAGCUUGAGUGCAGAAGAGGAAAGCGGUAUUCCACGUGUAGCGGUGAAAUGC
This 306-nucleotide ribosomal RNA is filed under the name uncultured Brevibacillus sp. Its description in RNAcentral is "bacterial SSU rRNA". It matches the Rfam family "Bacterial small subunit ribosomal RNA", at positions 391 to 689 of the family's 1533-position model. The record is from RNAcentral. Lineage: Bacteria; Bacillati; Bacillota; Bacilli; Caryophanales; Paenibacillaceae.